UGAGAUCCAGGUGGUGAAUGAGGAGC
This 26-nucleotide non-coding RNA is filed under the name Homo sapiens (human). The record is from RNAcentral. Lineage: Eukaryota; Metazoa; Chordata; Mammalia; Primates; Hominidae.